This 569-nucleotide long non-coding RNA is filed under the name Physcomitrium patens. RNAcentral describes it as "long non-coding RNA (PPAT_LNC002330)". Lineage: Eukaryota; Viridiplantae; Streptophyta; Bryopsida; Funariales; Funariaceae. The record is from RNAcentral.
GGGUCUUGGAAGCAAAAAGAAAAUUUAGGACAUCCAUAUGGAUAAAUGGAGAUGGAUGAUGAAAAUCUCUAUUCCUUUUGGCCAAAAAUCAUGUCCAAUGGGCUUCAAGGAGGCUGCCUAAGGCCUUAUUAGGAAUUAGGGUUAUUCUUUUGAGGCCAUUUGAACUUUAAAGACUAAGUUCAAUAAGUUUAGGUUUUUGGCUAUGUUUUUGGUGAAGAUUUUGUGUGAUUUGGAGUUUAUAUGAAAUAGAUAUAGGCACUCAAAGUUAAGGUAUUGAUUUCUUAUCUACUGUCACUCUAUUGGAUAUAAUGUAUGCAUAUAGAAAGAAAUAAAGUAUUGGCGACUGAAAUUGGAGAGUGCAUUUUUUUGGCUAUACUUUUGGUAUAUUUUUUGAUGGAUUCCAAGUUGAAAUGAAGGAGAUAUUAGAAGUCGAAGUCAACACUUCAAAUCUUCAGAUAAUAAGUGACCCGAUUUACUAGUGGUUGUGUUUUGAGCUAUAUCUUGAGCAAUUUGAUAAGAUUUUGGCUCAAAUUUUUUAAAAUUGUAUGUAAUCAUGUUACUAAACUUUA